Manis pentadactyla (Chinese pangolin) is the source of this 753-nucleotide long non-coding RNA. RefSeq lists it as uncharacterized. The record is from RefSeq and is a predicted model, not a curated record. NCBI's taxonomy places the organism in Eukaryota, Metazoa, Chordata, Mammalia, Pholidota, Manidae. The transcript has 2 exons.
UCAUGCCCGGCUGACGUCACCGAAGCCACGCCUCCAGGAAUGUCUUUAAAGGGGCCUGGCUGGCCCUGGGAGAGAAGGGAAGGGAAGUCCUGAGAGGUUUGGGAGCAUCGUGAAGCCCUCUGGACUAACUGGCACCCCCGCCAGGUCCUCCCAAGUUUGAGGGUCUCAAAAUGCAAGUGCCCCCAGGGCUAGACCCAAGGGAUCGCUGAACCCGGAUCAGACUUGGGGAUGGUUUUUGCUCUGAGCCAUUCCCGACUCUCACCCUUUGCUGAAGGACUUGACUGAAAUGGGCAGUGGGGCCAAGAAGCAGGUGCAUCUUAGCAGCAUGCCUAGGAGGGGAGUUCCUACCCCAAUGCCCUUCAUCCUGGGACCUCAGAAGAGUGUGCCCAACUUCCAGGGGGUCUGGGAGAGCAUCUCUGCUCACUCAACCAGAAGAAUAUCCUAAUCUAAGAGCAACCACCUCUAGGAAGAGUCAGAUAUGCGUUAUCUCAUUUCUUGCCUGGGAGGCAGGUAUCAUUAUCCCCAUUUUACAGAAAAGGAAACAGGCUCCAAGCAGCAUGCCCAAAGGUUGCACAGCUCAAAGCAGCCACACGGGGCUACUCUGGUACCCAGGUCCUCCCUGGAAGAUGUGGACACCUUGGCCUUCCAGCCUGGGCACCUGCCCCGGGCAAGUGGAUCCAGACAUCUCCCCUGGAGUCGGGGGAGGGUUAAUUACAGGCGCUGGGGCAUUGUGAUUAAAGCCUUUGACCAAGA